AAAUUGAAGAGUUUGAUCAUGGCUCAGAUUGAACGCUGGCGGCAGGCCUAACACAUGCAAGUCGAACGGUAACAGGAAGCAGCUUGCUGCUUUGCUGACGAGUGGCGGACGGGUGAGUAAUGUCUGGGAAACUGCCUGAUGGAGAGGGAUAACUACUGGAAACGGUGGCUAAUACCGCAUAACGUCGCAAGACCAAAGAGGGGGACCUUCGGCCUCUUGCCAUCAGAUGUGCCCAGAUGGGAUUAGCUUGUUGGUGAGGUAACGGCUCACCAAGGCGACGAUCCCUAGCUGGUCUGAGAGGAUGACCAGCCACACUGGAACUGAGACACGGUCCAGACUCCUACGGGAGGCAGCAGUGGGGAAUAUUGCACAAUGGGCGCAAGCCUGAUGCAGCCAUGCCGCGUGUAUGAAGAAGGCCUUCGGGUUGUAAAGUACUUUCAGCGGGGAGGAAGGUGUUGUGGUUAAUAACC
Molecule: ribosomal RNA, 470 nt
Filed under: Salmonella enterica
Lineage: Bacteria; Pseudomonadati; Pseudomonadota; Gammaproteobacteria; Enterobacterales; Enterobacteriaceae
Description: bacterial SSU rRNA
Rfam family: Bacterial small subunit ribosomal RNA
Source: RNAcentral